Molecule: ribosomal RNA, 254 nt
Filed under: uncultured bacterium
Lineage: Bacteria
Description: partial 16S ribosomal RNA
Rfam family: Bacterial small subunit ribosomal RNA
Source: RNAcentral
UACGUAGGGGGCAAGCGUUGUCCGGAAUCAUUGGGCGUAAAGCGUGCGUAGGCGGUUUAGUGUGUGGGAUUUGAAAGCCCGGGGCUCAACUCCGGAUCCGGAUCCCAAACUGCUAGACUCGAGCGUAUCAGAGGACAGUGGAAUUCCCGGUGUACGCGGUAAUAUGCGUAGAUAUCGGGAGGAACACCAGUGGCGAAGGCGACUGUCUGGGGUAUUGCUGACGCUGAGGCACGAAAGCCAGGGGAGCGAACGGG